GUAGGUGGCAAGCGUUGUCCGGGGAAUUAUUGGGGCGUAAAGCGCGCGCAGGCGGUUCUUUAGGUCUGAUGUGAAAGCCCACGGGCUCAACCGUGGAGGGUCAUUGGAAACUGGAGAACUUGAGUACAGAAGAGGAAAGCGGAAUUCCACGUGUAGCGGUGAAAUGCGUAGAGAUGUGGAGGAACACCAGUGGCGAAGGCGGCUUUCUGGUCUGUAACUGACGCUGAGGCGCGAAAGCGUGGGGAGCAAACAGGAUUAGAUACCCUGGUAGUCCACGCCGUAGACGAUGAGUGCUAAGUGUUAGGGGGUUUCCGCCCCUUAGUGCUGCAGCUAACGCAUUAAGCACUCCGCCUGGGGAGUACGGCCGCAAAGGCUGA
RNAcentral lists this ribosomal RNA (377 nucleotides) under uncultured organism. Its description in RNAcentral is "partial 16S ribosomal RNA". It matches the Rfam family "Bacterial small subunit ribosomal RNA", at positions 527 to 897 of the family's 1533-position model. The record is from RNAcentral.